This 2925-nucleotide ribosomal RNA is filed under the name Staphylococcus aureus. RNAcentral's name for it is "23S ribosomal RNA". It matches the Rfam family "Bacterial large subunit ribosomal RNA". The record is from RNAcentral. Lineage: Bacteria; Bacillati; Bacillota; Bacilli; Caryophanales; Staphylococcaceae.
UAGAUUAAGUUAUUAAGGGCGCACGGUGGAUGCCUUGGCACUAGAAGCCGAUGAAGGACGUUACUAACGACGAUAUGCUUUGGGGAGCUGUAAGUAAGCUUUGAUCCAGAGAUUUCCGAAUGGGGAAACCCAGCAUGAGUUAUGUCAUGUUAUCGAUAUGUGAAUACAUAGCAUAUCAGAAGGCACACCCGGAGAACUGAAACAUCUUAGUACCCGGAGGAAGAAAAAGAAAAUUCGAUUCCCUUAGUAGCGGCGAGCGAAACGGGAAGAGCCCAAACCAACAAGCUUGCUUGUUGGGGUUGUAGGACACUCUAUACGGAGUUACAAAGGACGACAUUAGACGAAUCAUCUGGAAAGAUGAAUCAAAGAAGGUAAUAAUCCUGUAGUCGAAAAUGUUGUCUCUCUUGAGUGGAUCCUGAGUACGACGGAGCACGUGAAAUUCCGUCGGAAUCUGGGAGGACCAUCUCCUAAGGCUAAAUACUCUCUAGUGACCGAUAGUGAACCAGUACCGUGAGGGAAAGGUGAAAAGCACCCCGGAAGGGGAGUGAAAUAGAACCUGAAACCGUGUGCUUACAAGUAGUCAGAGCCCGUUAAUGGGUGAUGGCGUGCCUUUUGUAGAAUGAACCGGCGAGUUACGAUUUGAUGCAAGGUUAAGCAGUAAAUGUGGAGCCGUAGCGAAAGCGAGUCUGAAUAGGGCGUUUAGUAUUUGGUCGUAGACCCGAAACCAGGUGAUCUACCCUUGGUCAGGUUGAAGUUCAGGUAACACUGAAUGGAGGACCGAACCGACUUACGUUGAAAAGUGAGCGGAUGAACUGAGGGUAGCGGAGAAAUUCCAAUCGAACCUGGAGAUAGCUGGUUCUCUCCGAAAUAGCUUUAGGGCUAGCCUCAAGUGAUGAUUAUUGGAGGUAGAGCACUGUUUGGACGAGGGGCCCCUCUCGGGUUACCGAAUUCAGACAAACUCCGAAUGCCAAUUAAUUUAACUUGGGAGUCAGAACAUGGGUGAUAAGGUCCGUGUUCGAAAGGGAAACAGCCCAGACCACCAGCUAAGGUCCCAAAAUAUAUGUUAAGUGGAAAAGGAUGUGGCGUUGCCCAGACAACUAGGAUGUUGGCUUAGAAGCAGCCAUCAUUUAAAGAGUGCGUAAUAGCUCACUAGUCGAGUGACACUGCGCCGAAAAUGUACCGGGGCUAAACAUAUUACCGAAGCUGUGGAUUGUCCUUUGGACAAUGGUAGGAGAGCGUUCUAAGGGCGUUGAAGCAUGAUCGUAAGGACAUGUGGAGCGCUUAGAAGUGAGAAUGCCGGUGUGAGUAGCGAAAGACGGGUGAGAAUCCCGUCCACCGAUUGACUAAGGUUUCCAGAGGAAGGCUCGUCCGCUCUGGGUUAGUCGGGUCCUAAGCUGAGGCCGACAGGCGUAGGCGAUGGAUAACAGGUUGAUAUUCCUGUACCACCUAUAAUCGUUUUAAUCGAUGGGGGGACGCAGUAGGAUAGGCGAAGCGUGCGAUUGGAUUGCACGUCUAAGCAGUAAGGCUGAGUAUUAGGCAAAUCCGGUACUCGUUAAGGCUGAGCUGUGAUGGGGAGAAGACAUUGAGUCUUCGAGUCGUUGAUUUCACACUGCCGAGAAAAGCCUCUAGAUAGAAAAUAGGUGCCCGUACCGCAAACCGACACAGGUAGUCAAGAUGAGAAUUCUAAGGUGAGCGAGCGAACUCUCGUUAAGGAACUCGGCAAAAUGACCCCGUAACUUCGGGAGAAGGGGUGCUCUUUAGGGUUAACGCCCAGAAGAGCCGCAGUGAAUAGGCCCAAGCGACUGUUUAUCAAAAACACAGGUCUCUGCUAAACCGUAAGGUGAUGUAUAGGGGCUGACGCCUGCCCGGUGCUGGAAGGUUAAGAGGAGUGGUUAGCUUCUGCGAAGCUACGAAUCGAAGCCCCAGUAAACGGCGGCCGUAACUAUAACGGUCCUAAGGUAGCGAAAUUCCUUGUCGGGUAAGUUCCGACCCGCACGAAAGGCGUAACGAUUUGGGCACUGUCUCAACGAGAGACUCGGUGAAAUCAUAGUACCUGUGAAGAUGCAGGUUACCCGCGACAGGACGGAAAGACCCCGUGGAGCUUUACUGUAGCCUGAUAUUGAAAUUCGGCACAGCUUGUACAGGAUAGGUAGGAGCCUUUGAAACGUGAGCGCUAGCUUACGUGGAGGCGCUGGUGGGAUACUACCCUAGCUGUGUUGGCUUUCUAACCCGCACCACUUAUCGUGGUGGGAGACAGUGUCAGGCGGGCAGUUUGACUGGGGCGGUCGCCUCCUAAAAGGUAACGGAGGCGCUCAAAGGUUCCCUCAGAAUGGUUGGAAAUCAUUCAUAGAGUGUAAAGGCAUAAGGGAGCUUGACUGCGAGACCUACAAGUCGAGCAGGGUCGAAAGACGGACUUAGUGAUCCGGUGGUUCCGCAUGGAAGGGCCAUCGCUCAACGGAUAAAAGCUACCCCGGGGAUAACAGGCUUAUCUCCCCCAAGAGUUCACAUCGACGGGGAGGUUUGGCACCUCGAUGUCGGCUCAUCGCAUCCUGGGGCUGUAGUCGGUCCCAAGGGUUGGGCUGUUCGCCCAUUAAAGCGGUACGCGAGCUGGGUUCAGAACGUCGUGAGACAGUUCGGUCCCUAUCCGUCGUGGGCGUAGGAAAUUUGAGAGGAGCUGUCCUUAGUACGAGAGGACCGGGAUGGACAUACCUCUGGUGUACCAGUUGUCGUGCCAACGGCAUAGCUGGGUAGCUAUGUGUGGACGGGAUAAGUGCUGAAAGCAUCUAAGCAUGAAGCCCCCCUCAAGAUGAGAUUUCCCAACUUCGGUUAUAAGAUCCCUCAAAGAUGAUGAGGUUAAUAGGUUCGAGGUGGAAGCAUGGUGACAUGUGGAGCUGACGAAUACUAAUCGAUCGAAGACUUAAUCAA